AAUACCUGUUGUGCAACCGGUACUAAGGAGGGUUUGGAACCCAUACAGAAAGCGGAAUCCCCAGUAGUGAGUGAAGAAGCUAUCUCGGUGGGGGAGUGAAGGCACGUAGGCCUAUGAUCACGUAUGUUUGUUUGGGGUGGUUCCGAGUGAACGUGGAAGGUUUGUUUUUAUGAAGGCCGGGGUGUUUUGUUCCUUAAAAAUGGUUUUUAAAAGUGAAUUUUCACCCUUAAAAUAGGAGCGGAUGGAGCGAUUUUCAGGGACGGUUUAUAAGGAGCAUCGCUCCUAGAAAUUAAACCACCAAACUAGGAAUAAUCCUUUAACCAUCUGAUCCCCCUCUCUUAUCCUCUCCUCCACCCACACAUCCUCUCUUCUCUGUCACUUAUCCUCCCAUGCACUGAUCCUCAUGCAUUCCUCCUCUUUCCCCAUGUUUUCCUCCACUCCCACGUAAGAGCACACAAGGACGAGCGAUCACAGGCUGGAGGUUGGUGGGCGGGUGGGCUGCUCCGGCGUGGUGGCAGGUGCGGGCGUGCGGCGGCGCGCCUAGCUCAGGUGCCGGAGGUGUGGAAAGUACUUUUUUCUGCACUAAAAAUUCACAAUUUUUUUCUGCACUAAAAAUUCACAUAACCUUCAAAAGUAGUCUAGUUUGGUGAAUUUAGUUUUAAGGUUUAAGUGAUGCAUAUGUGUUUUCGUGCAAAAUGGGUUCAUCUGCAUCUGUUUUAUCACCACAAAAGUUUCAUGAAUUUUAUAGGUGAUUUGAAGGUCGUUUUGAUUAAAAGAAAAGAGGUUAGAUCAAAUCCACGGGUUACUGUGCGAGUUAACUGACAAACAGACAAAAGUGUCAAAUAAGAAGUUUAACUUAAUGUUUAAUAAGGAAGUUGAAAUUUUCAAUGUCAAAUUAUAAAGCUCCAUAUAUUUUAACGGUAUCAAAUAGUGAAUUUUCACUUCCACAAGAAGACUGAGAAAACCUAUAUGGGAUCAAGGCGAAGCCUUGAGAAUUGGGUUCCAAACAAACCGAGGCAGGUGGAACCGUUUUUUUUCCCACAAGGUGGAACUGGUUAAGUACUGCUAGGAGCAUAGCUAUUAGUCUAUUAGCAAGGACCGCACACAAUAGGCUUCGGCGAAAAACAUCAUUAAGGUGCUAGGACAGGAGGGAACCAAGAACCAAUUGUAAUCUCUUACCACAUUAGUGUUAUAAAGACUAUUGUGCUUGUGCCCCGAAAUAUUUUUAGCAUACAGUGGUUGCGAGGAUAUAAUAAUAGCGUAAAUUGUAAACUGAUGUUUGGUCCCCCAUGUGUAAACCAAAUUUUGAGGAGUAUAAAGAUAGAUCGGUUGAUCUUAAUUAUUUCAUUGAUGAUGCGUUUAUAUCUUGGAAUAUCAUAGUCACUUGCUGAUCAGAGUGUGCUGCAGUUGGCCGUCUGGAAGGAGAGCUGGCCCUUGCCGAUGUCGAAGAGGAGGUGCAUGUUCUGCUGCUGGAAGUUGCCGAUAAUGCUUAUAUCGAACGCUUCCAUGAUAGCCAUGCAGGCCGUCGACUUGUCUAUUGGCGCCCAGUAGUUCUCCGGAGGCAGGGCCAUGUCCGCGCCGCCGCUGAAGUGGAACACGAGCGUCGGCACAAAGCUGUCCAAGUCGCCCCGUGCCACACACAGCGCCAUCCCACCGCCAUCUCCCCCCGGAGGUGGCACGAGGCUGCCGUUCAGCUGCCGAGCAAGCUCGUCGGUUAGCGGCUUGUACGCGUCUUCGACGAGCGAGGUGAAGGGGCUGCC
Molecule: long non-coding RNA, 1760 nt
Filed under: Setaria italica (foxtail millet)
Lineage: Eukaryota; Viridiplantae; Streptophyta; Magnoliopsida; Poales; Poaceae
Description: long non-coding RNA (SITA_LNC000561)
Source: RNAcentral